This 374-nucleotide ribosomal RNA is filed under the name uncultured bacterium. Its description in RNAcentral is "bacterial SSU rRNA". It matches the Rfam family "Bacterial small subunit ribosomal RNA", at positions 9 to 385 of the family's 1533-position model. The record is from RNAcentral.
GAGUUUGAUCAUGGCUCAGAUUGAACGCUGGCGGCAUGCUUUACACAUGCAAGUCGAACGGUAACAGGGAGCUUGCUCCGCUGACGAGUGGCGAACGGGUGAGUAAUGCGUCGGAACGUGCCGAGUAGUGGGGGAUAACGCAUCGAAAGGUGUGCUAAUACCGCAUACGAACUGAGGUUGAAAGUGGGGGACCUUCGGGCCUCACGCUAUUCGAGCGGCCGACGUCUGAUUAGCUAGUAGGUGAGGUAAAGGCUCACCUAGGCGACGAUCAGUAGCGGGUCUGAGAGGAUGAUCCGCCACACUGGGACUGAGACACGGCCCAGACUCCUACGGGAGGCAGCAGUGGGGAAUUUUGGACAAUGGGCGCAAGCCUG